RNAcentral lists this transfer RNA (77 nucleotides) under Oscillospiraceae bacterium. Its description in RNAcentral is "tRNA-Arg". It matches the Rfam family "tRNA". Rfam says of the family: Transfer RNA (tRNA) molecules are approximately 80 nucleotides in length. Their secondary structure includes four short double-helical elements and three loops (D, anti-codon, and T loops). Lineage: Bacteria; Bacillati; Bacillota; Clostridia; Eubacteriales; Oscillospiraceae. The record is from RNAcentral.
CUGCCCGUAGCAUAAUUGGAUAAUGCACUUGAUUCCGAUUCAAGCGAUUGGGGGUUCAAAUCCCUUCGGGCAGACCA